RNAcentral lists this ribosomal RNA (788 nucleotides) under Neogoniolithon sp. Its description in RNAcentral is "SSU rRNA". It matches the Rfam family "Eukaryotic small subunit ribosomal RNA", at positions 961 to 1771 of the family's 1831-position model. Lineage: Eukaryota; Rhodophyta; Florideophyceae; Corallinales; Spongitidaceae. The record is from RNAcentral.
AGGAUGUUUUCAUUGAUCAAGAACGAAAGUAAGGGGAUCGAAGACGAUCAGAUACCGUCGUAGUCUUUACUAUAAACGAUGAGGACUGGGGAUCGGGCGAGGAAUUACGAUGACCCGCCCGGCACCCUCCGGGAAACCAAAGUGUUUGCUUUCUGGGGGGAGUAUGGUCGCAAGUCUGAAACUUAAAGGAAUUGACGGAAGGGCAUCACCGGGUGUGGAGCCUGCGGCUUAAUUUGACUCAACACGGGAAAACUUACCAGGUCAGGAUAUAGGGAGGAUUAACAGAUUGAGAGCUCUUUUUUGAUUCUAUAGUUGGUGGUGCAUGGCCGUUCUUAGUUGGUGGAGCGAUUUGUCUGGUUAAUUCCGUUAACGAGCGAGACCUGGGCGUGCUAAAUAGGGGCCUCUACCAUUUUGGUAGUGAGAUUUCCCUUCUUAGACGGACUGUGGGCGUCUAGUCCACGGAAGCUCCAGGCAAUAACAGGUCUGAGAUGCCCUUAGAUGUUCUGGGCCGCACGCGUGCUACACUGAGUGGAUCAGCGGGUCAGGUUACGCGAGAGUGUUUCCUAAUCUUAAAAUCCGCUCGUGAUGGGGAUUGACGGUUGCAAUUUUCUGUCAUGAACGAGGAAUACCUUGUAAGCAUGGGUCAUCAUCCCGUGCUGAAUACGUCCCUGCCCUUUGUACACACCGCCCGUCGCUCCUACCGAUUGAGUGGUCCGGUGAGGCUUUGGGAUUGCGAUGGAAAGAGCGUUUCGCUCGUUCUGUUGUGAGAACUCAGUCGAACCUUAUCA